Molecule: unclassified non-coding RNA, 376 nt
Filed under: soil metagenome
Description: partial contains 5.8S ribosomal RNA, internal transcribed spacer 2, and large subunit ribosomal RNA
Rfam family: 5.8S ribosomal RNA (bases 1-120)
Source: RNAcentral
GAUGAAGAACGCAGCGAAAUGCGAUAAGUAAUGUGAAUUGCAGAAUUCAGUGAAUCAUCGAAUCUUUGAACGCAUCUUGCGCUCCUUGGUAUUCUGAGGAGCAUGCCUGUUUGAGUGUCAUUAAAUUCUCAACUACACUGACUUUGAAUUGGUGUGGCUUGGAUUUGGGGGGAAAAUUGUUGUGGGCUUUUUGUAUAGUCUGCUCCCCUGAAAUUGAUUAGCGGUACCUUUGUGGAACUGUCUACAGGUGUGAUAAUUAUCUACAUCUUAGACAUCUGCUGGAAUGCUGCUUUCUAAACCUUACUUGUAUUGACAAUCUUGACCUCAAAUCAGGUAGGACUACCCGCUGAACUUAAGCAUAUCAAUAAGCUGAGGA